CCCUUAGAGUUUGAUCCUGGCUCAGAUUGAACGCUGGUGGCAUGCUUAACACAUGCAAGUCGGACGGUAACAGGUGUAGCUUGCUACAUGCUGACGAGUGGCGGACGGGUGAGUAAAGCAUAGGAACUUACCUUAUGGAGGGGGAUAGCUCAGGGAAACUUGAGGUAAUACCGCGUAAGACCGAGAGGUGAAAGGGGGCUGUUAAAGGCUUUCGCCAUAAGAUGGGCCUAUGUUGGAUUAGCUAGUUGGUAGGGUAAAGGCCUACCAAGGCGACGAUCCAUAGCUGUUCUGAGAGGAAGGACAGCCACACUGGGACUGAGACACGGCCCAGACUCCUACGGGAGGCAGCAGUGGGGAAUAUUGGACAAUGGGGGCAACCCUGAUCCAGCAAUGCCAUGUGUGCGAUGAAGGCCUUCGGGUUGUAAAGCACUUUAGUGAGGGAGCAAGGAUGACCGGUUAAUACCCGGUUAUUUUGAGAGUACCUCAAGAAUAAGCACCGGCAAACUCUGUGCCAGCAGCCGCGGUAAUACAGAGGGUGCAAGCGUUAAUCGGAAUUAUUGGGCGUAAAGGGCUUGUAGGUGGUUCUAUAAGUUAGAUGUGAAAACCCUGGGCUUAACCCGGGACGUGCAUUUAAUACUGUAGAGCUAGAGUAGAGCAGAGGAGUGGGGAAUUCCUGGUGUAGCAGUGAAAUGCGUAGAGA
Molecule: ribosomal RNA, 700 nt
Filed under: uncultured bacterium
Lineage: Bacteria
Description: bacterial SSU rRNA
Rfam family: Bacterial small subunit ribosomal RNA
Source: RNAcentral